RNAcentral lists this unclassified non-coding RNA (149 nucleotides) under soil metagenome. Its description in RNAcentral is "partial internal transcribed spacer 1". The record is from RNAcentral.
CCGAGUUAUACAACUCAUCAACCCUGUGAACAUACCUAACUUGUUGCCUCGGCGGAAUCAGCCCGGCCCUGUAAAACGGGACGCCCCGCCAGAGGACCCCUAACUCUGUUUCUAUAAUGUACUUCUGAGUGAACAAGCAUAAUAAAUCA